This 460-nucleotide ribosomal RNA is filed under the name uncultured bacterium. RNAcentral's name for it is "partial 16S ribosomal RNA". It matches the Rfam family "Bacterial small subunit ribosomal RNA", at positions 338 to 795 of the family's 1533-position model. The record is from RNAcentral.
CCUACGGGAGGCAGCAGUGAGGAAUAUUGGUCAAUGGACGAGAGUCUGAACCAGCCAAGUAGCGUGAAGGAUGACUGCCCUAUGGGUUGUAAACUUCUUUUAUAUGGGAAUAAAAUGUUCCACGUGUGGGAUUUUGUAUGUACCAUAUGAAUAAGGAUCGGCUAACUCCGUGCCAGCAGCCGCGGUAAUACGGAGGAUCCGAGCGUUAUCCGGAUUUAUUGGGGUUAAAGGGAGCGUAGGUGGAUUGUUAAGUCAGUUGUGAAAGUUUGCGGCUCAACCGUAAAAUUGCAGUUGAAACUGGCAGUCUUGAGUACAGCAGAGGUGGGCGGAAUUCGUGGUGUAGCGGUGAAAUGCUUAGAUAUCACGAAGAACUCCGAUUGCGAAGGCAGUUCACUGGACUGCAACUGACACUGAGGCUCGAAAGUGUGGGUAUCAAACAGGAUUAGAUACCCGUGUAGUC